RNAcentral lists this ribosomal RNA (726 nucleotides) under Astalotermes cf. brevior CMRT056. RNAcentral's name for it is "16S ribosomal RNA". It matches the Rfam family "Bacterial large subunit ribosomal RNA", at positions 1713 to 2719 of the family's 2925-position model. Lineage: Eukaryota; Metazoa; Arthropoda; Insecta; Blattodea; Termitidae. The record is from RNAcentral.
AUUAGUAAAUUUUUAUUUUACGUUAUUUAUUUGUAUGUUAGAUUCUUUUUAGGAAUUCGGCAAAUUUUGUGUCCGCCUGUUUAACAAAAACAUCUUUUCUCGUUAGUUUUUGAAGUAUGACCUGCCCACUGACUUAUUGUUGAAGGGCCGCGGUAUUUUGACCGUGCAAAGGUAGCAUAAUCAUUAGUUCUUUAAUUGUGAUCUGGUAUGAAUGGUUUGACGAGACAUUAGCUGUCUUAGAUUAGUUGAAUAAUUUUGGUUGAAUUUAGUUUUUGAGUUAAAAUUCUUAGAUGUUUUUAUGGGACGAGAAGACCCUAUAGAGUUUGACAUUUGUAUUUAUUUACUGUUAGGUUGUUUGUUUAUUUUGAUUGAAUAAGGCAAAUGUUUUGUUGGGGUGAUGGGAGGAAUUAUAUAACUCCUCUUUAAUUUAUGUAUAUUUAUGUAUAUUUGUUUUGAUCCAUUUAUUUUGAUUAUAAGAUUAAAUUACCUUAGGGAUAACAGCGUUAUCUUCCCUGAGAGUUCUUAUUGGCGGGAAGGAUUGCGACCUCGAUGUUGGAUUAAGGUAAAUUUUCGGUGCAGGAGCUGGAAUUAAUUAGGUCUGUUCGACCUUUAAAAUCUUACAUGAUCUGAGUUCAGACCGGCGUGAGCCAGGUUGGUUUCUAUCUAUAAUAUUUUUUUAUAUCUUAGUACGAGAGGACCGGGUAUUUGGAAUAAUUUUAUUUAUUA